AGAGUUUGAUCAUGGCUCAGAGCGAACGCUGGCGGCAUGCUUAACACAUGCAAGUCGAGCGCCUCGCAAGAGGAGCGGCAGACGGGUGAGUAACGCGUGGGAAUCUACCGUGCCCUAAGGAAUAGCUCCGGGAAACUGGAAUUAAUACCUUAUACGCCCUUCGGGGGAAAGAUUUAUCGGGGUAUGAUGAGCCCGCGUUGGAUUAGCUAGUUGGUGGGGUAAAGGCCUACCAAGGCGACGAUCCAUAGCUGGUCUGAGAGGAUGAUCAGCCACAUUGGGACUGAGACACGGCCCAAACUCCUACGGGAGGCAGCAGUGGGGAAUAUUGGACAAUGGGCGCAAGCCUGAUCCAGCCAUGCCGCGUGAGUGAUGAAGGCCCUAGGGUUGUAAAGCUCUUUCACCGGUGAAGAUAAUGACGGUAACCGGAGAAGAAGCCCCGGCUAACUUCGUGCCAGCCGCCGCGGUAAUAC
Molecule: ribosomal RNA, 470 nt
Filed under: uncultured bacterium
Lineage: Bacteria
Description: bacterial SSU rRNA
Rfam family: Bacterial small subunit ribosomal RNA
Source: RNAcentral